Molecule: long non-coding RNA, 2280 nt
Organism: Brienomyrus brachyistius
Lineage: Eukaryota; Metazoa; Chordata; Actinopteri; Osteoglossiformes; Mormyridae
Exons: 2
Source: RefSeq, a predicted model, not a curated record
CAGCGGGGCCUGAGGACCGACUUUGAGAACCACUGCUUUAAGUAAAUAAUUUAGGGCUUUUCCCACCUUUAUUUUUUUUUACUUGGUGACCAGCACGCAGUGCAGACUCCUGCACACGCAUGCACCAUGAAACCAGGAGACGCCUUUGUCUGGAUCAAGAGGUCUAACGUGGGGGUGGGAAAGCAGGCAGCUCCUCUCAUUGGCGUCAGUGGCUUUAAGAUUGAAUUCUUCAUCGCUUUAAUGUAAUGAACCUAUAUUUGCCAUUUGUACCAGUACAUCAGAAUGGAACUUUUCAUAUAUUCCAUCUAGCUUUUCUUUGAAACACACACACACACACGAGAGUGAAGCCUGGCCUGGGAUCUGAACACAUACUCAGACCAUUUACCUGGUGUUCAUGUUUUGAGGUGAACGGGUCUUGCACAGUCACCCACCAAAGAUGAGGCCGGGACUCGAAACAGCAACUGUCUGAUCACAGGCAGCGAGACCUCACCCCCUGUGCAGUACGCCGCCCCAACAGCACACUGGGACUCGGUUAGCUACUCCCUGAGCACCGUAAAUGAAAACAAGCCGAGGCAUGAAGUAUGUAAACAACAUGUGCAAGAUACACAAUAAUAUGUUACAUGUUCUGUUCAAUAAAUAAAUACAAUAAAUGGUGUGAAAGGUGUGGCGACCGCACCGUACUCAGGGAGGGGGGGGGGGGGGGCGGAGCCUGACAAGCAGAGCAGCGGUACGAAAGCACAUCAGCGGUGGAGACGAACUCGGUGUAUCUCAACAUCCCUGCCCCAGAAACGAGGCACCACAGGCUAGAGGGGGGGGUAUUAUGUCGCGAGAAUAUUAACAUUUAACGUAAGUAACCCAUAAUGCAUCAUUAAAAUGGCUGCUUAAUGGACAACAGGGCACAGAGAGACAACAUGUUUUCCUUGGGUGUUCAGCAUUGUUUCUCAGGCCAGUCCUCAGGGACCACCAGACGGUCCACAUUUUUGCUCUCUCCUUCCCUGGACGGGAUACGUCUACAUAAGGUCAGAUACAAUAACUUGUACAGAUUGGAUGAACAGGUAAAGCUGCAUCUGUGUUUAUUGUUUCAUACUUUUACAGUUCCUGCUAUAAGAAAUCAAAACUAGACAAAAAAAUCUCAUUUGAGUCAAAAGAUCCUAAGGUAGGUCAUCUGAAAAUAAAUAAAUGACUGAGGAUCGUUCCCCCACAGCUGAGAAGAUACUGAAAGAAACAGCUAACAUUCCCUCCAAAGUAUUACCUGGCGAUAACAGAGAAGCAUAUAGAGGAGAGGAGGAGAAGUAUCUCCAGCAAGGAGAGCUUCUGGGGCUCAUCAGCACCCGGGGUGGACUGCGAUGCCGUUAACACCUCAGCAAAACAAGAGGCCCUCUUGUACACAAGCAGGAGAAGUAGCUCUGGUUCAGCGUUUGUUGUGUGGCAGUCAGAAGUACGCAGGGUGGAUCUGCUCUCGCACUCUGACGCGGGGACCCUCCCUUCUGCUAUGUGUCCUCCACACCCAUAUCCCCAGGACACCUUCCGCAUUCAGGCGCAGGGUGGGGUCCAGUGCAUCCUGCUGUCAGCACCAGGAGUCCAAACCCUUCUGCAGGUGACGAACACCAAGCCUGUCUGACACGCCAGUGGCUGAUUAUUAAGUGUCACUCCCUGGUCUUUUGUCUGGCUGGACUUCAGCUUUGAGCUGCUCACAUUGAACCCCUGUUUGCAGUUUGCCAGCAGACCUGUGGAAUGCUUCGGCUCGUCACCCUUUGUUUAAGGGACAGAGCCUGGACUGGAUGUCUUAAUUGGCUCCUUUUAUCCAUGUGACAAAAGCAACACGUUCCUGUCAGUGGCCCCAUGUUAUCUCCGCGCAUUGAUCUGCCUGGACCUGCAAAGGUUAACGUUUGUUGGCAGAGUUUGCUAUGCAUUUGAUAAAUAAGGGGAAAUGCUUUAUUAUAAAAGCUGUAACGUUUUCCGUGUUAGUUAAGAUGCGACAGACAAGUCCCGAAGUCCCAAAAUGGGUGGCAGUACACUGCAUGGUCCCGUCACUUUGAGUUUUACACAGUGGGAACUAAUAGAGUUGCCAAAAGAUGGAUUUACAUGAGAGCGCUGCAUGGCAACACUGCUGCUUAGCUACAGACAGCUGAGCGAAUGCAGGACCUGGUUUGUGGGAUUGUGGGAAGUCAGCGGGGGUUGGAGCUGUCACACUAUUCGUAACGAAAUAUGCAUGCAUGUUGUGGGCCUUAGCUGGUGUUAGAAGACAGACAGAAUAAAUCCUCUGACAUGGUUCUGUUA